GUCCUCCGUAUUCGGACUUCCAUCUCAGUUGGAUCGGGUGCUGCGACUUUGUUCUGGUUUGACCCUUGGGCGGGAGACACCCCCUUCGCGACCCGCUUCCCCGACCUCUUCGCCAUCGCCGUCGCCCCCUCGAUCUUAGUAGAGAGGGGCCUUAUUGACUUAGGGCACCUCGCUUUCAGGAGGCCAUUUGGGCCUCCGGAAGCCGCCGCCUGGCAGGAGCUGCUUGAUUGCGUCGCUCUCCAGGAGCCGGUAGUGGAUGCUGACCCGGAUGAGGUGCGGUGGCGUCUUGAGCCUUCGGGCCAAUUCUCCACCAAGUCCCUCUACAUGGCCAUCGCCCCCUCCCCCGCUCCCCCUCCUUUCGUUGUAUGGCCCAUUCGCCUGCCACUAAGAAUCUAGAUAUUCAUGUGGCAAUGGAUCCGCAGAUGGAUCCCAUCUGGGGUGGAGGUUCGCAAACGCAAUGGCCCUGGUCCGACCUCUACCCGCUGUGUGGUAUCCCCGAAGAUUCGAAUCACAUCUUCUUCUCCUGUGUAUCUGCUCAAUUCGUGUGGAGCUGCUUUAGAGGUUGUUUGGAUAAAUGGAAUAUAUAGAAUCCAUUCUCUAUAA
Molecule: ribosomal RNA, 603 nt
Filed under: Triticum aestivum (bread wheat)
Lineage: Eukaryota; Viridiplantae; Streptophyta; Magnoliopsida; Poales; Poaceae
Description: partial small subunit ribosomal RNA
Source: RNAcentral